AGUGAACGCUGGCGGUAGGCCUAACACAUGCAAGUCGAACGGCAGCACAGUAAGAGCUUGCUCUUACGGGUGGCGAGUGGCGGACGGGUGAGGAAUACAUCGGAAUCUACUUUUUCGUGGGGGAUAACGAAGGGAAACUUACGCUAAUACCUCAUACGACCUACGGGUGAAAGCAGGGGAUCUUCGGACCUUGCGCGAUUGAAUGAGCCGAUGUCGGAUUAGCUAGUUGGCGGGGUAAAGGCCCACCAAGGCGACGAUCCGUAGCUGGUCUGAGAGGAUGAUCAGCCACACUGGAACUGAGACACGGUCCAGACUCCUACGGGAGGCAGAAGUGGGGAAUAUUGGACAAUGGGAGCAAGCCUGAUCCAGCCAUACCGCGUGGGUGAAGAAGGCCUUCGGGUUGUAAAGCCCUUUUGUUGGGAAAGAAAAGCAGCAGGUUAAUACCCCGCUGUUCUGACGGUACCCAAAGAAUAAGCACCGGCUAACUUCGUG
This 492-nucleotide ribosomal RNA is filed under the name uncultured bacterium. Its description in RNAcentral is "partial 16S ribosomal RNA". It matches the Rfam family "Bacterial small subunit ribosomal RNA", at positions 29 to 507 of the family's 1533-position model. The record is from RNAcentral.